GACCACGUGGCCAAGUGGGUAACGCUCUCGUUUUUGAAUCCAAAGGCACCCCCGGGUUCGGACCCAGGCAAGGUCA
Caenorhabditis brenneri is the source of this 76-nucleotide non-coding RNA. Lineage: Eukaryota; Metazoa; Nematoda; Chromadorea; Rhabditida; Rhabditidae. The record is from the annotation of a GenBank genome assembly.